GGCCUAACACAUGCAAGUCGAACGCGAAAGCUCCUUCGGGAGUGAGUAGAGUGGCGAACGGGCGAGUAACGCGUAGGAAUCUACCCAAGAGUGGGGGACAACCCGGAGAAAUCCGGGCUAAUACCGCAUACGCCCUACGGGGUAAAGUGGGGGACCUUUCGGGGCCUCAUGCUUUUGGAUGAGCCUGCGUCGGAUUAGCUUGUUGGUGAGGUAACGGCUCACCAAGGCGACGAUCCGUAGCUGGUCUGAGAGGAUGACCAGCCACACUGGGACUGAGACACGGCCCAGACUCCUACGGGAGGCAGCAGUGGGGAAUAUUGGACAAUGGGGGAAACCCUGAUCCAGCCAUGCCGCGUGUGUGAAGAAGGCCUUCGGGUUGUAAAGCACUUUCAGUAGGGAAGAAAAGCCUAAGGUUAAUACCCUUGGGUCCUGACGGUACCUACACAAGAAGCACCGGCUAAUUCCGUGCCAGCAGCCGCGGUAAUACGGAAGGUGCAAGCGUUAAUCGGAAUUACUGGGCGUAAAGCGCGCGUAGGCGGUUAGAUAAGUCGGGUGUGAAAGCCCUGGGCUCAACCUGGGAACUGCAUUCGAUACUGUCUGACUAGAGUGUGAUAGAGGGAGGCGGAAUUCCACAUGUAGCGGUGAAAUGCGUAGAGAUGUGGAGGAACACCAAUGGCGAAGGCAGCCUCCUGGAUUAGCACUGACGCUGAGGUGCGAAAGCGUGGGGGAGCAAACAGGAUCAGAUACCCUGGUAGUCCACGCCGUAAACGAUGUCAACUAGCCGUUGGGAGCAUUUUGGCUCUUGGUGGCGCAGCUAACGCGAUAAGUUGACCGCCUGGGGAAGUCGGUCNCAAGAUUAAAACUCAAAGGGAAUUGA
This 877-nucleotide ribosomal RNA is filed under the name uncultured bacterium. Its description in RNAcentral is "bacterial SSU rRNA". It matches the Rfam family "Bacterial small subunit ribosomal RNA", at positions 45 to 913 of the family's 1533-position model. The record is from RNAcentral.